RNAcentral lists this ribosomal RNA (520 nucleotides) under uncultured Entrophospora. Its description in RNAcentral is "SSU rRNA". It matches the Rfam family "Eukaryotic small subunit ribosomal RNA", at positions 569 to 1080 of the family's 1831-position model. Lineage: Eukaryota; Fungi; Glomeromycota; Glomeromycetes; Entrophosporales; Entrophosporaceae. The record is from RNAcentral.
AGCAGCCGCGGUAAUUCCAGCUCCAAUAGCGUAUAUUAAAGUUGUUGCAGUUAAAAAGCUCGUAGUUGAAUUUCGGGAUUGACACAUCGGUCGUGCCUUAAGGGGUAUGAACUGGUGUAGUCAAUUUCUCACCUUCUGGAGAACCGCGAUGCCCUUAAUUGGGUGUCACGGGGAACCAGGACCUUUACUUUGAAAAAAUUUAGAGUGUUUAAAGCAGGCAUUUUGCUUGAAUACAUUAGCAUGGAAUAAUAAAAUAGGACGGCAUGAUUCUAUUUUGUUGGUUUCUAGGAUCACCGUAAUGAUUAAUAGGGAUAGUUGGGGGGCAUUAGUAUUCAAUUGUCAGAGGUGAAAUUCUUGGAUUUAUUGAAGACUAACUACUGCGAAAGCAUUUGCCAAGGAUGUUUUCAUUAAUCAAGAACGAAAGUUAGGGGAUCGAAGACGAUCAGAUACCGUCGUAGUCUUAACCAUAAACUAUGCCGACUAGGGAUCGGAUGAUGUUAAUUUUUUUCAAUGACUCAUU